RNAcentral lists this long non-coding RNA (1230 nucleotides) under Setaria viridis. RNAcentral's name for it is "long non-coding RNA (SVIR_LNC002319)". Lineage: Eukaryota; Viridiplantae; Streptophyta; Magnoliopsida; Poales; Poaceae. The record is from RNAcentral.
CAUAUAUCUGUAUCUCGUAAUUCACGUUUGUGACAAUGUCUUUGACUCUUUGUGCUAUGCUACGCGUACAAUACAUUGGCAGAUUACGGACAUCCCAGGCCUGAAGCAGUACUGGAGCAACAUCAAGUGCCCCAGCAACAACGGCCAGGGCGGCUGGAAGAACGCCUGGAAGAUGUCCGGCGCCUGCUCCGGCCUCAAGGAGAAGGACUUCUUCGAGAAAGCCCUCGAGUUCCGCAGCCGGCUCAACCCUCUCGUUCGCCUCCAGAAAAACGGUACGUGAACAUAUAUAGAACUGAGUUUCAUGCACGAGUGUUCGAAAUCGGAUGACCACCAAAUGACACAUGCGUACUGUUUUUGAUGGCUUAUUAUGAUUAAUUUGCAGGUAUCCAGCCGGACUUCGAGCUGUACAGCUUGAAGAAGAUCAAGAAGGUGUUCCAGUCGGGCAUCAACGCGACGCCGCUGGUCCAGUGCAGCAUGGGCCCCUUCAACAAGUACAUGCUGUACAAGCUCUACUUCUGCGCGACGGAGCAGGGCACGUUCAUCGACUGCCCCGUGGCGCCCAAGUACACCUGCUCGGCGGAGAUCCUCUUCCACCCUUUCAAGAGGUGGAUGCUCCAGCAGCUCCAGGGGGAGGACGCCGAGUUUGCCGCCGCGGCCGACGGCGACGACCAGGACGCCUUCGUGCUGCCCGGCGUGGCCAUGGAUAUAUAACCGAUGGAUCGAUCGGAAGCAUAUGCGUGUCGUCGAGGAGAGACCCCACCUGAUCUCCGAUCCAUCCAGAUCGUCUUUCAAUUCGUGAGUUUGCGUUUCGGUGGCGUACGCGUGCAUGGAAUAAUGUCGUUGUUCCUGCUCCCCCGAGCAAACAACAACGCAGUGUAGUAAUAUGUGAAAAUAAUUAAACACUGAGACGUACGAAGACAAUAAUGGUACGGUGAUCUCCUCCUCUUCUACGACGAGUUCCUUCUAUUCCUACUCAUCAGGGAAGAUGUGGCCGUGUUUAUCUAGCUCUUCUGCUUUGCGCCGCCUCACCAAGCUCACUGCCCGCAGCGUCGCCGCAUGGCCACAUCCCACAUCUUAAAUUCGGUGGUUCAAUAACAUAAAUAUGGUCCCCUGGUCCCGCAAAAUUACGUUGACUGCCGCUUAAAUUCUACGUUGAUUUGCAUCAAUAUUCUUCAUGCUGUGUUAUAUAUUAUAAAAGAGAUCCUUCCUAAUCAAGUGACAAUUUGCUGU